Molecule: ribosomal RNA, 253 nt
Filed under: uncultured bacterium
Lineage: Bacteria
Description: partial 16S ribosomal RNA
Rfam family: Bacterial small subunit ribosomal RNA
Source: RNAcentral
UACGUAGGGGGCGAGCGUUAUCCGGAAUUACUGGGUGUAAAGGGUGCGUAGGCGGCAACGUAAGUCUGUUGUGAAAGGUGAUGGCUUAACCAUCGAAGUGCAAUGGAAACUGCGGAGCUAGAGUGCAGGAGAGGAAAGCGGAAUUCCUAGUGUAGCGGUGAAAUGCGUAGAUAUUAGGAAGAACACCAGUGGCGAAGGCGGCUUUCUGGACUGCAACUGACGCUGAGGCACGAAAGCGUGGGGAGCAAACAGG